RNAcentral lists this ribosomal RNA (988 nucleotides) under Leptinopterus femoratus. Its description in RNAcentral is "partial 16S ribosomal RNA". The stretch from base 865 to 988 matches the Rfam family "Archaeal large subunit ribosomal RNA", at positions 2542 to 2666 of the family's 2987-position model. The record is from RNAcentral. Lineage: Eukaryota; Metazoa; Arthropoda; Insecta; Coleoptera; Lucanidae.
UAAAUUAAUCUUUAGUUUUAAAGUGUCUCGAAUUCUAGGGAGCUAAGAAUUUAUAUAUUUUAAUGUGAAAUAAUUAUUUAUAAUAUGUUUUUAGUUGUGAAAUGCUAGUCGUCCUGGAGUAUAUCUAGUUUUUUUAGAAAUGAAUUUAAUUCAGCCUGCUAGGGAAAUAAUUUUAUUAUUAAUUUGGUUUUUUUUGUAGUGUAAUAAUUAAUGGGAUAAGCUUUUAAUUAGAUACUUAUAAUUAUUAAUUUAUUAAUUGAUUUAUAGGGUUAGAAGUGCUCAUUAAUUGAAGUGUGUUAUAAUAGGUUAAUUGUUAAUUUGAUUUUGUUAUUUUUAGGUUAUUUAUAAGAAUAUUAGAUUGAAUUUUUAAGUUUAAGAAUUUAUGAUAAAAUUAGUAUAAUAUUAUGUGAUAAAUAAAUUGUAAUUGUAAGGUUAAGUUAAGGAACUCGGCAAAAUUAUUUCUUGCCUGUUUAAUAAAAACAUGUCCUUUUGUUAUAAUUUAAGGUCUGACCUGCCCAAUGAGUUUUGAAUGGCCGCGGUACUUUGACCGUGCAAAGGUAGCAUAAUCAUUAGUUUUUUAAUUGAAAGCUGGAAUGAAAGGUUGGACAAGGAAAUUACUGUCUCUAUUUAAUUUAAUUAGAAUUUUAUUUUUAGGUUAAAAAGCUUAAAUGAGUUUAAGGGACGAGAAGACCCUAUAGAAUUUUAUAUGUAAAUAUAAUUUAAGUUUUUGGAAUUUUAUUUUAAUUUGUUUUUACUUAUUUUGUUGGGGCGACAGGAAAAUUUAUUUAACUUUUCUUCAUUUUUUUCAUUAAUUUAUGUAUAUUUGAUCCACUGGUUGUGAUUAUAAGAUUAAAUUACCUUAGGGAUAACAGCGUAAUUAGUUUGGAGAGUUCAAAUUGAUAAACUAGUUUGCGACCUCGAUGUUGGAUUAAAAUUUACUUUUGGUGCAGAAGCUAAUAGGUUAAGUCUGUUCGACUUUUAAAAUUUU